AGAGUUUGAUCAUGGCUCAGGAUGAACGCUAGCGGCAGGCCUAAUACAUGCAAGUCGAACGAUGUAGCAAUACAUAGUGGCGCACGGGUGCGUAACGCGUAUGCAACCUACCUUUCAGUGGGGCAUAACCUUGAGAAAUCAGGGCUAAUUCCGCAUAUACUCUUCUUGUGGCCUCAUGUGGAAGAGGAAACAUUAAUGGCUGAAAGAUGGGCAUGCGUCUGAUUAGUUAGUUGGCAGUGUAACAGACUACUAAGACCAUGAUCAGUAGGGGUUCUGAGAGGAAGGUCCCCCACACUGGCACUGAGAUACGGGCCAGACUCCUACGGGAGGCAGCAGUAGGGAAUCUUGGGCAAUGGAAGCAAUUCUGACCCAGCCAUGCCGCGUGCAGGAAGAAGGUGCUCUGAACUGUAAACUGCUUUUGAUGGGGAGCAACCAGCUCAUGCGUGAGUAAUUGAGCGUACCUGUCGAAUAAGCACCGGCUAACUCCGUGCCAGCCGCCGCGGUAAUUC
Molecule: ribosomal RNA, 509 nt
Filed under: uncultured bacterium
Lineage: Bacteria
Description: bacterial SSU rRNA
Rfam family: Bacterial small subunit ribosomal RNA
Source: RNAcentral